Molecule: non-coding RNA, 1735 nt
Organism: Paramisgurnus dabryanus
Lineage: Eukaryota; Metazoa; Chordata; Actinopteri; Cypriniformes; Cobitidae
Source: RefSeq, a predicted model, not a curated record
GCACCUAUUAUGGGAUACACGUUUUUAAACAUCCUUUUGUGUGUAAGUGUGCAUUAGUACAUGCUAACGAUAUUCAAAAAGUACAUACCUCAAAGAAAACGAUGACGCGAGUUAUCGUCUCUAACGUUCGAGGACUACAAAAAACACUCGGAUUGUAGGCAACAGUUUACUUCCUGGGAUUAGUGACGUAGAUAAGACCAACAUUAUCAUAGUUCAGCCCUCUCUGCUUUGCUUGGGUACGCCCUCAAAGACGAGGGUGGGGUGGGGAGCGCCGAGUCAGAAGAGAGCUAAAAUGGCGGAGGUUGUGAGUCCCUGCUUUUACUCUGUUUGCAAACUCUUGUUUCAUUGUUUAAGCGACUAAAUCUCUCGAGUAGACGCUGUCUCUUUAGAUGCGAGGGCAAAAUAGCACUUUAUGGACUUCCACAGAGGACAUCAUGUUUAAUACGGUUCCGGAAAAAUCCAGUCAGAAGUUGUUCACGGAGUUUUCACAAUAACUGCUUCUCAUGAACCGAAGCUGGAUUUGCUUGACGUCUCCUCUUGAAAGUUGGAUUACUUUGCACUUCUGGAUCACAGACUAUUCGCAGCUGGACACAUCCUUCUACACUGUAUGCAAACAUGCAACAUCAUUACACACAGUACAAGGAGUCAGACUGGCAUAUGAGGAGCAAAGGAACCCAGGCAGUAGCAUCGUUUCACAAUGUUUCCAUCACCAUCAUCAGUGGAUGCCUUUGCCGUCCGUAGCCUGAGAUUUCAGAUUUGCAGCAAAAAAAAAAAAAUUCUCAUUUAUUGGAAUGCUGUGCAGGUAUUUAAGUAUUUUAGUAACUGUGUUAAAUAAAGUAGUAUUUACUUUUACAAUAAAUUAAUUGCUUGUUUAUAUUUUACAGGUAUUUGUACCUUGCAGCCAUCCAUUACAAUGUCACCAAGCCGUAACAAAAGCAGGAGAGGGAAAGUACAAGGCUAUGUUCCCAAAACACAAAUGACAUACCUUAUGUGGAGGAUGUGAUCAGGCUUGUGUUUGAUGAGGUAUUUGAAGAUAAGCUGAAGGAAACCCCGAUUCCAAUGGACCUGGCAUCACAGUUUGAGAGACCUUCAAAGGAGGACGUGAUUGCAUGCCAUCUUCAGUGCAGGGGUCGUCGAAAGCCAAAAUUGUGACCGAUCUGAUCAGGAAGCUCCAAGCGUAUCUGGAGAACAACACACGACAGGAUGAUAACCUUAUAGUGUCGUCUUAGAUAGCACCAGCUGACAAAGCUUUGAUAUGCCAUUUAUCUGAAUAGAUAGCUGUAAGAAAUGAAUUGAACAAUUUUUGAAACAAGAGCACAAUAUGGUUACUAAAGUAUGUUUAUUUGUAUAUUGUUUAACAUUUAAAUAUAUAUUUGUAAUAAAUAAAAAAAACUUUUGACUGACUAUUAUAUUUUCUUUAAAGUUGCAUCUUUUGUUCUUUUGGGUACUUUGUUACUAUAAUGAUACUUUAGUGUUAUUGGUUUAAAAAUGUAAUAAAACUUACUCUAGUCCUGCACCUCAAAGGCUUAUAGUCGGUACAAUAAAUGUUCUGUGUGUAGGGAUUUAGACAAUUUGUGCAAAACCUGGAUGAUGAAUCACGCAGGUAAGAGGCCCUGGAACAUGUUGCAUUCUCCUUAAAACCUAAUAAGUAAAAACAUAGCACUUAUAAGUAAGCAGUUUUUCAUAAUAAACUUUACCAUAGUGAAAUAAUGUAGAACAUUCAUUUCAACAAAUA